GGGAGAAACCUGCCGCGGCUCUCCGCCUCUUUGUCUGCUCUGGGACUUGGAACAAAAGGGGGAACUCUGAUGAACUCCUUCUCCCGCUCCCUGGACGCCCGGGUAUCUCUCUCUCGCAACUUUGUCAACGCGACUUUCUCCGUUGUCAGGCUGCGCAAAAGUGUCCCAGCGCCUCGUAGGCUGCAACAAUGGAAACAAUGUCCCUUCAAAGUGCGACGAAGUGGGGGGAGAAGGUGUCAUUACCAGCGUCUCCAAGUAUCCUGCCAUGCUUAGCUGGAGUACUUCCUACUGAUCUGCCUUCGAAUUGUUCUUUUUGGAUAUAUACUUAUCAGCCAGUGGCAUGGAGAAGCCACGACCCCAGCAAGUUAGCCCUGGACAAAAUACCAUCAAUUUCUUCCUUUGGAGUUUCUUCAGUUAAAUUGUUGGGAAUUUGGACAAUGCUUUCCUUAUGUGGAUUAUUGCAGUUCGGUGACUGGGGUUUCUCCACUUAUACAAGUACUCCCAGGUGGCUGCAGAAGCCUUCGCACCCAGCAUGUUCAGGU
Non-coding RNA from Myodes glareolus (Bank vole), 542 nucleotides. NCBI's taxonomy places the organism in Eukaryota, Metazoa, Chordata, Mammalia, Rodentia, Cricetidae. The record is from RefSeq and is a predicted model, not a curated record.